GAUGAAGAACGCAGCGAAAUGCGAUACUUGGUGUGAAUUGCAGAAUCCCGUGAACCAUCGAGUCUUUGAACGCAAGUUGCGCCCGAAGCCAUUAGGCCGAGGGCACGCCUGCCUGGGCGUCACACGUCGUUGCCCCCCCCAUCUACUCCUUCGGGAUUGCGGGGGGCGGAUGAUGGCCUCCCGUGCGCCUCGUCGCGCGGUUGGCAUAAAUGCCAAGUCCUCGGCGACGCACGCCACGACAAUCGGUGGUUGCGAAACCUCGGUUGCCCGUCGUGUGCGGUCGUCGCGCAUCGAGGGCUCGAAAAAAUUGCCGGGCUCCGGCUCGGCUUUCAACGCGACCCCAGGUCAGGCGGGGUUACCCGCUGAAUUUAAGCAUAUCAAUAAGCGGAGGA
RNAcentral lists this unclassified non-coding RNA (392 nucleotides) under soil metagenome. Its description in RNAcentral is "partial contains 5.8S ribosomal RNA, internal transcribed spacer 2, and large subunit ribosomal RNA". The stretch from base 1 to 122 matches the Rfam family "5.8S ribosomal RNA", at positions 35 to 154 of the family's 154-position model. The record is from RNAcentral.